This 253-nucleotide ribosomal RNA is filed under the name uncultured bacterium. Its description in RNAcentral is "partial 16S ribosomal RNA". It matches the Rfam family "Bacterial small subunit ribosomal RNA", at positions 524 to 776 of the family's 1533-position model. The record is from RNAcentral.
UACAUGGGGUGCAAACGUUGCUCGGAAUUAUUGGGCGUAAAGCGCGCGCAGGUGGUUCUUUAAGUCUGAUGUGAAAGCCCCCGGCUCAACCGGGGAGGGUCAUUGGAAACUGGGGAACUUGAGUAUAGAAGAGGAAAGUGGAAUUCCACGUGUAGCGGUGAAAUGCGUAGAUAUCGGGAGGAACACCAGUGGCGAAGGCGGCUAUCUGGGCUGCAACUGACGCUGAGGCGCGAAGGCUAGGGUAGCAAACAGG